RNAcentral lists this ribosomal RNA (253 nucleotides) under uncultured bacterium. Its description in RNAcentral is "partial 16S ribosomal RNA". It matches the Rfam family "Bacterial small subunit ribosomal RNA", at positions 524 to 776 of the family's 1533-position model. The record is from RNAcentral.
UACAGAGGGUGCGAGCGUUGUUCGGAGUUAUUGGGCGUAAAGCGCUUGUAGGCGGCCUGUCAAGUCGCGUGUGAAAUCCCCUGGCUUAACCAGGGAAGUGCGCGCGAAACUGAAGGGCUUGAGUGCCGGAGAGGGUCGCGGAAUUCCCGGUGUAGAGGUGAAAUUCGUAGAUAUCGGGAGGAACACCAGUGGCGAAGGCGGCGACCUGGACGGACACUGACGCUGAGACGCGAAAGCGUGGGGAGCAAACAGG